GGACUCGUAGCAUAACUGGAUAGUGCACUAGAUUACGGCUCUGGAGGUUGGGGGUUCGAAUCCCUCCGAGUUCACAA
Molecule: transfer RNA, 77 nt
Filed under: Flavobacteriales bacterium
Lineage: Bacteria; Pseudomonadati; Bacteroidota; Flavobacteriia; Flavobacteriales
Description: tRNA-Arg
Rfam family: tRNA
About the family: Transfer RNA (tRNA) molecules are approximately 80 nucleotides in length. Their secondary structure includes four short double-helical elements and three loops (D, anti-codon, and T loops).
Source: RNAcentral